RNAcentral lists this long non-coding RNA (1308 nucleotides) under Gossypium barbadense (sea-island cotton). Its description in RNAcentral is "long non-coding RNA (GBAR_LNC004076)". Lineage: Eukaryota; Viridiplantae; Streptophyta; Magnoliopsida; Malvales; Malvaceae. The record is from RNAcentral.
GAGAAUUGGUUGAGCAUAGAAGCUUUCAUGUGAGUUCAAUUCUUACCCGUCUCUUAUAAUUUUUAUGUUUUUGAGAUAGUUGCAACUAGGUCCAGCUAACCCGUACCUUCAUUUCUGAUUCUGUUUAAAAUUCUGGAAGUUUCCAUUGAUAAAUAUUAGAUUUUUUUUAUGAAUAACAUUGAUUUGAAGCUUUGAUUGUGUUGUAUGAUGAUUUUGUAAAGUGAUUUUUGUUAAAUAUUGAUUUUAAGAUUAAAUUGUGAAAAUGUCAAAAUAUUAGAGUUUGAUAGUGAAUUUUAGGUUUAUUAGGGGCUAUAUGAGGGCUUAGAAUAUUUGGAUAGAUUAUUGAUUUGAGAAAAUUAGUUAAUUUGAUAGAUUAACUAAUUAAGGGAUUAAAUUGCAAAAAUUGUAAAAGUUUGAGGUAAUUGCAUAAAUUCAAAAAAUAAAAAGGUAUUAAUCCCAUAAAUACUCGUGGAAAAGGAAAAAUAGUGGAAUAGUCCCUGAACUUCUGCAAUUACUCCAAUUCAGUCCAGGGAAGUUCGUACGGUUAAAAUUUAACAUUUGUAUAAAUUGAUGAUUGGUAUUAUGCAUAUAUUCUAUUGUUAGAAAUGAAUUAUUAUUUGAAUUAUAAUAUUAAAUUGGAUAUUCAGUUUGAAUUGAACGCGAGAUUUGAGUACAUUCAUGAUUUGGUGUAUGACGGGAGUUUGGAGUGGAGCUGGUAUUAUAGGGAGAUAUUGGCAUUUUACCCAAGUAAACUGGGAUUCAACAUUUGUUGCAAACUCUCGUGUUUUACUUUAUGUUUGGCAUGAUUGGGUGGAUCAGCUCUUACGAGCUUCUGUUCAGCUUUCAAGCUUCGUUGGCGUAUUCGGGAGGACCAGCUCUUAUGAGCUUCUGUUGACGAUGUACUCUUACCCGUAAGUCGUUCUUCAAAUGGAAAAAUCUCGGUUGAUUUAUUUAAUGAAUUUAAAAGACAUGUAAUUUAUUUUUGUAUUGAUUUGAAUACGAAUGUUUUUAUCAAUUGAAGUUGUGAAUGACAGGAGUUGUCUUGGAUGAUUUUGAUUAUUUGAUUUAUUAUAGUUAGUUCGGUAAGAUUUUUGUUUAUCUCAUCGAACUUACUAAGCUUCAUUAAGAUUGCUUGUGCUAUUUAAUGUCAUUGUAGAUUUUCGGAAGGUUGGAUGACCGGAUCGGCACUCAAGUCACACUAUCCAGUUUAUCUCGGUAGUUUUUGAAACGUUAAAUUCGGAUUAUAUGGCAUGUAUAGGCUCUUAUGCUAUUUUGGUUAAUGUUUGGCUUAUGUAAAUGUUAUGAAUG